CCCUUAGAUGUCCGGGGCUGCACGCGCGCUACGCUGACUGGCUCAGCGUGUGCCUACCCUACGCCGGCAGGCGCGGGUAACCCGUUGAACCCCAUUCGUGAUGGGGAUCGGGGAUUGCAAUUAUUCCCCAUGAACGAGGAAUUCCCAGUAAGUGCGGGUCAUAAGCUUGCGUUGAUUAAGUCCCUGCCCUUUGUACACACCGCCCGUCGCUACUACCGAUUGGAUGGUUUAGUGAGGCCCUCGGAUCGGCCCCGCCGGGGUCGGCCCACGGCCCUGGCGGAGCGCUGAGAAGACGGUCGAACUUGACUAUCUAGAGGAAGUAAAAGUCGUAACA
RNAcentral lists this ribosomal RNA (334 nucleotides) under uncultured eukaryote. RNAcentral's name for it is "partial 18S ribosomal RNA". It matches the Rfam family "Eukaryotic small subunit ribosomal RNA", at positions 1470 to 1796 of the family's 1831-position model. The record is from RNAcentral.